Crotalus tigris (Tiger rattlesnake) is the source of this 9314-nucleotide RNA transcript. It is a transcript of the gene named exophilin 5, with no coding region annotated. The transcript has 9 exons. Lineage: Eukaryota; Metazoa; Chordata; Lepidosauria; Squamata; Viperidae. The record is from RefSeq and is a predicted model, not a curated record.
UUCAGACACCCCAAGCAUGCCAGCAAGCCAGUUUAUACUUGCUGCUGGAGCAUAAUAGUGAGCUUCCGUGAAUACACAAUUGGCUUCCGAAGGACGAAGAGGCGCUGGCGAAGAAGGGGUUGCGAGGGGUUUAAAGUGUGAAUUGCAAACCACCGAAAGAGCCCUGAAAGGUUUCGCUUUGAAAGGCAAAGUGCAAGUAAGAAAAAAGAAACAACCAUGUGAGUGGCAAGACAAACUGUUACUGGCAAGGAAAGUGUUGACGUGAUAUGACCACAUGACUUCAGAUGCCCACACAUCCUUCAAAGCAGAAGAAAUGGCAACGACCCAGACAUGCAACUCCUCUUUGCCCUCUGAACCUACAAAUAAAUGCCUUGAUGCAAACAUCGCUCAUGUGAUGGACAGCACGUCAACAUGGAAUGAGGAGCUGGAAAAUGAGCUUUUAAAAGUUUUGGACAGUUUGGAUAGCCAACUGGCACAAGAACAAUCUCAAGAUACUGUGAAUACAAGAACUCCAAUUAACUAUGGCUCUACAGCACCAAAAAUCCAUCAUCAUUCCACUGUUGUGCAACCAAAUUUCCUUGGAGAAGUACAGAGAAAUGACCAGAACCUGUUUUCCCCAGAUAGAACAAGGACAUUAGGAGCCAGAAAUAAAUACAAAAGUUUCUUCACACCAAGGAGGCUUUAUGAUACCUAUACAAAGCAACAUCACAUAGAAAAAUACCCAUAUGGGGAUUUGUGUGAUGAAAGAUCUUCUUUUUUAAAGAGAGGAUAUUCUGCUUGUUCUCUUGGAUAUUCUUCAGAAGAUAGGUUGGCAUUUCCAUCAGGAUCAUACAGUAAUGGAUUUGGUCCUAAGAACUUCAUGUCCAACAAUAAAAUGGGCAGAAGUUACUCUUUGUCUUGCCUUACAAGGCGCUCGUCUUUGAUGUCUGCUGACAUGUUUUCCACUGGUAGCUUACAGCACGAUUCGGAAAGCAAUACGGACUUCACAAAAUUCAAUUUCCAGCAUCAGUCCAGACGGAUUCCUCUUUCAUCUAUUAUAUGGAAUAUACCACAGUCUUCUAGGCAUUCACUACAUUCAGACAGACUUCGUAGAACACAGUCAUUAAUAGAAUUUAACUCAGCGUUCGAGGACUCCCAUCCUUGUUCUCCAGAGGAAAAUACAAGGUAUAAAUUUUAUAGGUCAAAAAUGAAUUAUAGACAAGUAAUACCAAAUAAGAGCCAUCCUUUAUUCACUGAGAGACGAAUAGACCCUCUGUGUUUCAACAGUCGGGAGAAUUUUAUGUUACAUCCAUUGAAAAAUGUUUCAAAGCCAUGUUACAGAUACCCAUCAUUUCAUGGUAAAAUGAAUCGGUCCCCAAACAAUUUUCCUUUUGGAAGAACAGAGGAGUAUCCUUUUAGACGUGAUAAUCAUCAGUAUUUCAGUGAUGCUAACCAUGUCCCUGAUGUAAACUUUGAACAGCUGAUUGAGCGGCGAAGUGACUAUGGAAAAAAAAGAGACGUAUGGCAUAAUGAACAUAUGCAUGACCAUGUUUCAGAAUACACAAAGAGUAGGGACCAUCAAGGAAGAGCAAUUAACAAAUUGCUUGUAAAGGAUUCAAGAGGCAUGCAAAAAGGUGCAACUUAUGUCUCAACUGCUUUGGAGAACCAAACUGAAUAUGUCGAACCAAGUCAAAGUCAUUUUAGUGGGGAUAGUCAAGUUCCUUCAAAGACAUCUGUUAAACCCUUUCAAACCAAGAAGGGCUCAAAAAUGAGUGGCAUGGAAGAGAUGAUUGGUGCUGAUCAGUCAGAUAAAGUGGAUAGUAUGGACAUAAAAAAGCCAACAUUAAUUCAAGCAUUUGGACAAAUAAAAACAAACAAUCCAACAGAAUCUCAGAUGUCUCCUCCUACAGUCUCUUCUCAAGCUGCCCCUCCUAUGAGCAGAUCUCUCCAUCCACCUUUUAUAUUAAAUUCAAAAAGGCAAGCCAAGGCAAAUCCCUUAAGGCGCAUUGAAAACAUUUGUUUAUCAAAUAUUCACAGUAAAAAUGGCCAAAGAAAUGAAGUCAACAGUACUGAAAGCAACGGUGUAAAGCAAGCAUGUCCCCCACACCUUAUUGCUAAUCCUUCAAAGCUGUCAAUUCUUCAAAAUAACCCUCAAGAGGAGCACCGGUUGGAAACUUUGAAAGCAUUUAACCCGGACAAGAUGUUAAACCCUGUUUUCAUUGAAGACUCCAAAGUACUUCCAAACAAUGAUUUCCCAGUUUCUUAUGCUGAAACACUCCAUAAACCAAAUAGAUUUAUUAGAUAUUCAACUAGUAAUAGUAUUAGUGCCUCACCCAGCAGCAGCCCUCUCAAAUCUCCUAAAACACAUAAGACAUUAUUUCAAAAAUCAGCUAGUAUUGAUGGGAGUGAUCUCUUUAAAAAACGCAUCUCUCCCUCUACAAGGAAGAUCCCUUUCAGAAAUAAGAGGAUGGGGGAGGAUAACUUAGAAGCCCAUGUACCAAGCAGACUUGGGAAUAUUUAUUCAAAUAAGGGAGAUAAAAGCUCUUUGUUCAGCUCAUCCUGCUCAUCCUUAAACAUAUUGUCCAAAGAAAUGGUGGAAGAAAAAAAUAAACAAAUUAAAAAGUAUCACAUGCAUUUAAUUCAAGCUCCUAACUGCCCAUCAGGGAGUACUAAUAUAAUUGGCAGCAAACGGAAAAAAAGAGAUGAGAUGCUUGAUGCAGAGAAAGCAAUUUUUCUUUCUUCUGAAAACGAGGAAACGGGGGCAGAAAAUCCUUUAAAGCAAUAUAAAACCACCAGCAAAUUGACAGUAAGCAUAGAUGAAGAUAAUGUAAAAUACCAUGAAUUGAUUUCGGUUUAUUAUACUUUACCACGGAAACAUUCACAAGCUUUGUGCAAUGCCUUCCGAGUAGAUACCAAAAAGGCAGAUUCAUCCGCGUCCCCAGAAAAAUCGCAGACUCCUCAAAAGCAGUAUGAAGUUCAUGUCGGUAUGACAACUGUAGCUUUCCCACCCAGCUUAGAAAAAGGAGAAAAAGUUAUUUCUCCUGACAAAAUACCUGCUCCUGAUAUACAACAGGAUUCAAAAAAUAUAGGCAAUCCUAUUAAAGUUCUCCAAGUUUCAAAUCCCAUUAUGGAAACAGCAGGUGUUUCUCCAGCACAUUGUUCAAUGAAUAAUAAAAAGGAAAUAGCUGUAUCAGGAGCAGAAGAGCUGGGACUUGCAAUUUCCAAUAGGCCACCUGUGGAUGGUUCUCCAGGUGGCCCCAAACCCAGCAGAAAAGAGGUUGAAACAGUUAGCACCAAUAUUUUGUCCAACCUGCAUGUUGGCAGGCGCUCUUCUCCAUGGACAGACUCCUCAAAGCUUGAUAAAAACUUACGUCUUAACUCACUGAAUUCCAAAAGUACCUCUUUGGGGGAUAUUUCUGCAGUUUCUUCUGCAAUAAAUGGUCAUAAAGGGGGUCCUGGCUAUAGACAGCCAUCUGCUGAAGCAUCAGCAAGCAUUCCUCCUUCCAAUUUAAUUGACGUUAUCCAGGACGGAAAACCCACUGCAUGUCCAGAAGUUGGCACUCGAGUAAAUGUCACUAAAGAAAAAAUUAGAAAUGCUGCAGAAAUCAAAGAAAGGGCUCGUUAUAUAUGUCGCAUUAUUUCUGAAAGGGGACAUCGGUUUCCACCGAGAAAUGAAAGUGUCAGAAGUGAAACAUCCAUUUCAACAAGCAAGAUGCAUUCAGCUUCCCAGAAUUUAACGGUGCCAGGGGAUGCUGCUUUUUCAGCUAAUGUGGUCAUUCAUCCAAAAGGGAAUGUGGUAGAAUGUUCAAAGCCUGAAGAGCAGGAGAUGCCUCAAAGUCCUGCACUCCGCAAAGUUGGCACAAAUUUACAGAGGUCUGAAAGAGUCUGUGUGGACAAUGAGAACCUUAGCUCUAAAGGUAAGCCAUCAGGUCCUACCCAGGACUUGCCAGAGCAUUUACUACCUGAAAGUAAGCUUGCCCUGGAUAGCCUUAAAAAUAAAGUUAAUGACAUAGAAAAAAGGAAAAAUAGGCCUUCAGUUAAAAACAAACUAGCAGCCAUGUGCAGAACAAGUCGAAAGUUUUCUAAUAGGAAAAGCUCAAGUCCCAAACCACACGUAAGUUGCAUAUUUUCACAAAAUGAUGCACUUUCAUUAGAGAAAAGCAGCCAUCAUCCCAUGUUGAUUUCACCCAAUGAUUCCCAGCAAACAGGGAAUGAGAAUCAGAAUCAGGUUUCUCUACCUGGUGAAUUUGAUAUUCCAAGGCUGAGUAAAGUUGAAACUAAGAAAUUGCAAACUAAUGAAGAUAGGAGGCCUUUGACUAACUUGUGCAACCAAAAAAGAGAACAUUCUGGGCAAAGUGAUAAAAAUAUGAAGACCAUCCAAAAUUCUACCAUCCUAUUUUCAAAAUCAAUUAUGCCUGUGCUAAACAACAAUUUACAGACAGGUAGCAAAGUUUUAGAAAAUAACAGCCAUCCCAUUUUCUCCAAAUCCGCAGGAAUGGAUGCUUGCCCUCAAAAAAAAGGUCACUGUAAUGUUGGUGAGCUUUCAUCUUUUCCACUUUUGUCUGAUAAACAUGCAUACAUUAAAAACAAUUCAAAAACAAAUAUUUCUCCACUGCAAAAAUUGACUUCUAAAGCAGAAUGUGAUGGUUAUCAAGAUAACGAGCAGUCAGACAUCUUUAAAAAUGUAAACCAAUCCUGUUCCAAGCCAGUUCUAAAUCCCAACAAAACCCAGCGUGAACGACAUUUUUCUGAAUGUUCCUAUACACAAAAACUCCAUGAUUAUUUGCCCCCUAAAAACAAUCUGACACAGUCUGGAUAUAAUCGGAAAAUUAAGUCCUAUUCUGAACUGUUGUCCUGUGAUGAAAAUGAGAACUGGGACACAUACAAGGAGAAUAAAAGGAACUUUGGUUCGCGACCUAUCAUGUACCCCUCAAUUGAAUUUGGUAUUUUUGGAAAAGAACAACAGCAGGCUUUCUUAGAUAACAUAAAGAGGUCACUCACGGAAGGGCGGUUGUGGAAUCCAUGUCUUUUAAAGAACUUCAGGUCCAUUAAAAGGGAAGAUGUGUGUUCCUUAAACGGGUUGGAGCUGUUGAAAUCAAGUGCUACAGAAGAACAGUUCCCAAAUGAACCUUUUGAUUUCCAUGAAGAAGCCUCUGCAUAUUCUUCAGAUUCAGACUCUGAUACCACCACAGAUGAUGAAUAUUAUCUGCAUGAGUAUGAGAAAGAAUCAGAACUAUGAGGAACUCAACAGAUGUAGAAAGCAACUGCCUACUUGCUGACUUGUUGGUUGAUAGCUUAUAAAAGAGUAGGGACUGAAAACUUGAUUAGCUUUCUAUAAAUGCGCUAAUUUGAACUCAGAUACUAAAUGAACAUAUUGCACUAAUCUAGUCUUCCACAAUGCUGGCUUUUCUCAAAUAUGUAGACUGCCAGAAUUCUAACAAAUAUCCCUGGAAUUAGGAUCCACAUAUCUAGGGAAUGCUCAGUUAUAGAAGCUCUGCGGAGAUGUAAUACAUUUGGUUUUAGGGUAGGGUACCGUAUGAACUCAGUAACUGUGGCUUAUAAACUGCGGCGUACUUUUUUGCGUGUUGCUUAAAUCCAACCAAUUGUAGUUUAUUCAAUUAAACCAUGGUGAGAUAAUCUGUAACUUAAGAGUUAUGUAAACCUAGCCAUUACAAUGAUCGGCUCAAAAAUUUGUUUUUAAAUGGUAAAAAAUCACCCCACAUUUGAAUCUCUAAUGGCACUGGAAAGAAUAAAGGAAUUGUCCUACUGGUUCUUAAAUGAGGUUGCCUGCUUUUGCAGAGCAGGAUCUCUUUGUACCAGUUAACUUUGGCACAUAAUCAUAACACGGCUGCUUUCAUCAGCAAUUGAAUGUUUGCAUUCAACACAUCCAUAGCCUUUCUGUGUUUGAACAAAUCUAAAACUUCUACGUGUUAGGGGGAAAAGGGAAGAUUCAGAAUAUGUGUAUAUUUAAUAUCCUAUAUGAGAAUAUAUUCCUUGAAUCGGAAAAUGUGUGUGUUUAUUAGAACUAUUAAAAUGAAAGGAGCUACUUCAAUGAGGUAACUAUCCUUAAGCUUCAAAUCAUGCUGAAGCUAUUGCAAGAGACUCUCUUAUUCAUAACAGUGAAAUUUUAAAAUACUACAUGUUCACUAAUUUCCACUUUAAUUUUUAAAAUUAGCCUAUUAAUAUGAUGUACAAAAUUGGUUAUUCUGAAAUGCUUAAUACUUCGUUAAAGAAGUAUGUGUAUGUACAGAAUGUACAGUAUACUUUAAAAUAUUUGUUUAGUAUGGCAGUUACACUUGAAAGUACUUCUACAGUAUAUAUUUAUAUUUUAAUUCAUGUAAAUGAAACCAUUCUAGUAAGAUUCUAAUUAUCUGUUCAUGUAAAAAUAUGUUCCUUAAAUGUGAAUUAUUUUUUUAAAAAAUCUGUGCAUUAAUUGCGCAUAUAGCCUAAUGAAGCUGUACAGCUUUUUGCAUUAGAAAAAGACUUUGAAACUUGUAAAGCUUUAUUGAAGCUUUUUAAUUGAAAACACUUGUAUGUGACAAGCUCAGAGUGCAGUCAAAAAGUCAUGCACAGGCGUAUGUUUACACGCAUACAAAACUGUUCUUUAAUAUUUUCUUUUUGUGCUUUGCCUUUAUGACUUCAUUCCUUUGUACAUUGUAAAUAAGUUGUUUGUUUUGAGAUUAAUUUUCAGGCCGUAUUAACUUCUGGUGAAUUUUUGUUCUAUGUAUCCAGGCGUUUUAAUAGUACUCUACCUGUACGAACAAAACUGUAAUCCCACUGAGGAGCAAAAUUCCUUCAAUGCAACCUGAUCUCAUUAAUGCAAACAAUUGUUUGCUAUUUGCUCGCACGGGCAGGUACAAUCCCAUUGCAGAGUAACCAGGUUCAGACGGAGAAGGUCAAUCUAUGGCAACUGAACCGCCCAUUCCAAAGUCCAGCUAGAGCAAUGUUACAGGGCUGGAACUGAGGAGCAGAUGAAAUGUCUUAACUCCAGGAUUGGUCCAGUUUAUCCCACAUAAGGAAUUGAAGUCCACAAGUCUUAAAGUUGCCAAGGUUGAGAAUCCCUGGUCUAGAAGAUCUCAGAUUUGGGGAAGUGUUUUAUUAAAUCUGUUAGAAGAUUAGUUAGGACUUUGCUGCAUUUCCUAGUAUUGGUUUUCAGCACAGGUUUGUUAUGCAACAAGCCCCAUCCAAAUUUGGCCAAAAUACCCAAACCAUAGUUUAUUGUUAUUGUUCAAUCACUAUGUCAUGUCCAACUCUUUGUGAAACCAUGGACCAUAGCACACUACAUGGUUCAAUACACUAUCCAUAAUAAUUACAUCUAUCCAUUAAUCCUUGGGAAAGAAGGAUGCAAAAUAUUUUCAGAUUAAUAUUUUCACUGGCAAAGAAAGUAUUGCCUACUGGUACUCACUUAUUAAUGUCUAAAAUAUAACAAUAUUUCAGUCCAUUGGAUAGUCCUAUAUGCCACAACAUUUUUCAAGUAAUGCUGUCUCUUUCAUAUUAAGAAAAACAUUAUUUCAGGAGCCAUAAGUUUGGUCACAUUUCCUCCUUUCAAGUUCAGAGACAGGACUCUAAUUUUGAAAGGGGAAAUUUUACAUUGGGAAACUUUUAUAUUGGUACACCCAGUCUGCAAAUAAACAUAGCAUUUUAGACCAUAACAUAAGCUAGCUAAAAUUUAUUCACUUCAAUUACAAGCAAUAAGUUUGGUGUUAGGUUGGUUGAAGAAUUCAACUGUUACUGCACUGUCUAGCUCAUUUGCAAGAAAUAUUACCUUCUUCCAUAUCCUGUUGAAUUUGAUUUGCCUCUAGUCUAUAUUUCUGUAUUCCAAAUAUUUGCAUCACCAGACACAGGACAAAAAUUAAGUGGCAUUAAAACCUGUAUAUUCAUUUUCACUGUAAAGGCAUAUAAUUGCAUAUACUUUCCAUUCUUUGAUUUCCAUCCAGUUUAAAUUCUGAUUCUCAAGUCAAUGAGUGAUACAAGAGGAAUGCACAGUAUACACAAAGGCAUCUUCUUAGCUGAAUUGGGUCCAGAAAAGAGAAUAAAAUCAACAUUACUACCUUGUAAGAUCUUUUUAACUCUGCAGUGUUUUUCAUGUUUCUCUUUUUGUAAAUGUAUUAUAAAACUAAAAUUAAACAUGUUUUUAAAAAGCAGAAACAUUCUUUGAGUGAGAGAAGGAAGGAAGGAAGGAAGGAAGGAAGGAAGGAAGGAAGGAAGGAAGGAAGGAAGGAAGGAAGGAAGGAAGGAAGUUAAAGCAUUUUUCUGGCUAUAAUACAACACUUCAGAUAAAAUACCUCAAGGACAUAUGUGGCAGAAAAAAAUCCUAGUUGGCCUUUAUGUGUAUGCAAAUACUUAUUCCAUACAUUCGUUUAAUUGCUGGUUGAACUUACAUUGCACUUUCCCUCCAAGAGCUGAAGUCUUCGUUUUAUCUCCACAACAAGAACCUUGUAAGGAAAGAUGGCCUGAGAAAGUAUGAUCCAAAGUUUUUCAUAGUUGUGGGUUGGCCUGCUGAACAUUGAAAGAUGAAUGACACACCCGGUCCUCUACCUGUGGAUCCAUAGACACAGCAGAUAUAGUGCUUCCAACUUAGGAUGUCAUCUAUUCAAGCCUUGAAACUUUGCGUGGUGUAACAAGCUAUCAGUUAUCUGUGCAGGAGAACAAAGGACUUGUCUGGGACAACAAACCUGAGUGUAAUUUUUUUAGAGAUAGGGAAAGCCAAGAGGAACAGUGUUUGCUGAUGCAGCUCUCCCUGAACUAACAGAUGCUGGAAUAAGAAAAUAUUUCUACUUCAAAAAAAGGGGGAAGGUUCAGGAGAAAAUUGACUGAUGGGAUCCUUUUUAAAGAAUAAAUACUACGUGAGUUUAGAUGGAACAGCUGCAGGCUGUCAGUUCCCAUACCUGUUAUUGGGUGACAACCUUCUAUUUAAGGAGAAUUCUGAAUACCAUGAGCACUUCUAUAAGGAUCUGGCAUUGUGGAGCUAUUAUAUACCAUGAGUCAACUGAUGAGCCAAAGUCUUUGCUAGAAAAGGUCUUUGGCAGGAAAUCUUUGUCAGAAAAGAAGAGUGAAAUAACAUUGUCUAGCUGUAGACAAUGUUGAAGGAGUCUAAAUUUCUUCUCUCAUCUUUCCUAUGAGAAAAAGGAAGAUGAAACUCCGUCUGAGCAGAUCACAACUGCAAUAUAUCAAAACAGGGAUGAACUGUUCCUAAACUGCAUAGCAAAAGCCUAAGAUUGAAAAUCAGGCUUGUCAGAUGUUAUAUUUUUUCUAUCCUGCUCUAUGAAGUAGAGUUGGUCUCUGACAGAAGGCCACCUGAAGAGACUUGAAGCAUUUGAAAUGUGGAUUUACAG